Molecule: ribosomal RNA, 554 nt
Filed under: ascomycete sp. CCN19
Lineage: Eukaryota; Fungi; Ascomycota
Description: eukaryotic LSU rRNA
Rfam family: 5.8S ribosomal RNA (bases 185-338)
Source: RNAcentral
UCAUUAUCCAUCCAACCAGCUGCGGUCGCGGCCCCACGCUUACCCGUGGCGGUACGCGCCGCACGUCUGCACCCUUUUUUUACGAGUACCUUCGUUCUCCCUCGGCAGGGCAACCUGCCGUUGGAACCAUACAAAACCUUUUUUUGCAUCUAGCAUUACCUGUUCUGAUACAAACAAUCGUUACAACUUUCAACAAUGGAUCUCUUGGCUCUGGCAUCGAUGAAGAACGCAGCGAAAUGCGAUAAGUAGUGUGAAUUGCAGAAUUCAGUGAAUCAUCGAAUCUUUGAACGCACAUUGCGCCCCUUGGUAUUCCAUGGGGCAUGCCUGUUCGAGCGUCAUCUACACCCUCAAGCUCUGCUUGGUGUUGGGCGUCUGUCCCGCCUCUGCGCGUGGACUCGCCUCAAAAUCAUUGGCAGCGGUCCUUGCCUCCUCUCGCGCAGCACAUUGCGCUUCUCGAGGGGCGUGGGUCGCGUCCACGAAGCAACAUUACCGUCUUUGACCUCGGAUCAGGUAGGGAUACCCGCUGAACUUAAGCAUAUCAAUAAGCGGAGGAA